AGGACGAACGCUGGCGGCGUGCCUAACACAUGCAAGUCGAACGAGGUUAAUCCGGUAGCAAUACUGGUGACUGCCUAGUGGCGAACGGGUGAGUAGCACGUGAGCAACCUGCCCCGAAGACCGGGACAACACCGGGAAACCGGUGCUAAUACCGGAUACCCCCACCUAAUCGCAUGAUCUGGUGAGGAAAUGGAUUCCGCUUCGGGAGGGGCUCGCGGCCUAUCAGCUAGUUGGUGAGGUAACGGCUCACCAAGGCUUCGACGGGUAGCUGGUCUGAGAGGACGAUCAGCCACACUGGGAUUGAGAACGGCCCAGACUCCUACGGGGGCAGCAGUGAGGAAUUUCGUCAAUGGGGCAACCCUGAACGAGCAACGCCGCGUGCAGGAGAAGGUUUCGGAUCGUAAACUGCUUUUCUCGGGGAAGAGAACGGACGGUACCCGAGGAAUCAGCCCCGGCUAACUACGCGCCAGCAGCCGC
RNAcentral lists this ribosomal RNA (477 nucleotides) under uncultured bacterium. RNAcentral describes it as "SSU rRNA". It matches the Rfam family "Bacterial small subunit ribosomal RNA", at positions 26 to 518 of the family's 1533-position model. The record is from RNAcentral.